Molecule: long non-coding RNA, 2767 nt
Organism: Cercocebus atys (sooty mangabey)
Lineage: Eukaryota; Metazoa; Chordata; Mammalia; Primates; Cercopithecidae
Exons: 3
Source: RefSeq, a predicted model, not a curated record
GCUGUAUAAUCCUUCACAUGGGUCAUGAUCCUUUGUCAGCCCAUUCCUGUGUAAUGAUGGAUGUGGGUGGGCGGGAAUGACUUCCCAAUAUAAUUUCUAUCCAUUUCAUUUUCUUUGCAGAGGGAAGAGACAAGCCCCUCCCAUUCGCUUCUACUGGGGCUUGUUAAGCCAUCGCCUUGGGGGCUGGCUGAUCAGCGGCAGCCAGCAGCCAGCGGCUUCGGCAGGCAGGAGAAAGGACAGCCUGUGGCUACUGCAGCCCCACUGCCCGGCCACACUUCAUGACGGGAGAGUGCCUUGGGAGGAAUGUAAAGGCAAACCGUGAAGGAAACUGGCAAAUGCAUGAAGUCAGUCUCCAUGGUGCGCUUCCACUCCAGGGACUGUACGAGAGGAAAAAAAGGUGCUUCAUAUCCCAACCAAAAGUAUUCUCUGUCUGAGGAUCAUUGCCCAAGUAUGAAGUAGGAGACUUGUGCAAUUCAAAGGCACCCAUGCGAUGCUCGUGCGAAGCUCUUUUCUCAGCCAGACACGACAGGUAUGGAGCCGGCCCUGGGAAGUGGGAUCUAGAAUGACAACCCCUGGCACAGGGCUAAGGAGCUUUAGGAGUCGUGAAAUCUCAUUGUAUCACUGCAAACAGAAGCUGCAUCCCUGCAUGGGAAGCAUUAGGUCACCUCCCAGGCAGGAGCAAACAUUUGGUGGGAAGGACUAGGAGGUUGGCUGCUUGCUCUUCUCUUUCAGCAGUGACAUCUCCACCGUGCUUGUCCCACGUCUCCAGAAAGGUGGUUCCAGGUACAAAAGCUCAAGUGGACUGGAGGCUCCCAAAGCUUCUCCCCGUGCCAUCUCCCCACUGGCUGCUGGGUCCAGUGGUGGCCGCCCCUUGGGUACUAGGAACUCCUAGUUCUACAAUGAGAAGCUGCAAGGACUCCCAGAGGCCCAUGGACUGGAGCUGUUAAUGUCCUGCAGAUGGGAGCCACUCUCUCGCUGUGAUCACCAAGGUACCCAGGGCCUCCGGAGGCCACAAAGAAUGGAUAAUUGCAACCCACAGGCCUCCUUCAGAUUUCCUCCAAGCCCUUCUGGUCAGCAAAUACUCUAUGGCAAGUCUGGGGUUUGGUCUUUACUUCUGGUGCCAAUUAACUUCAUCUUCCUUUUCUCUUUGGUCCGUGGAAUUACUCUGCACUCUUUGCAAUGAUGUUUAGUAAUUCUUAUCGACUAUGGAGCAGCCUCCUGGGACCCUGCCAGCUGAUCUUAAAAAGCCACUUACUGCAGGAUUCCCACUGCUUUCCUGGGCCAGGAAUUCCUUAACCAAAGGCAAGUUUCACAGGAGAUCCUUGAGAAGGUGCCUCAUUAUUAAUAUUUUUGUGUUGAAAAUGUUCACUGUGGAAGUUGCUUACAAGGUGGGCCAGUGUGUUUGGGAAGAACAGGGUGGGCCUCGAGCAAACUGGGGGGCGGGGUGGGAUUCAGACUCUACUCCCUCCACCUUUGUCCUUCCCUCUUCUUCUUCUUGCUCACCUUCGGAACCCCCGGGCCCCCUUCCUGGCUGCAGCCCCUCGGGUCUUCUUCAUGCGUUGACACUGAAAGCUCUCUUGUGCUAAUUGCUGACUAGGCAUGAAUGCAUGGCAAUUGUUGGCUUGUUUCCUCUCCUGGGUCACUUUUUCCUCCUUUCAUAUUGGGUAGAGCCUUUCAUGUCUUAACAAGAGGGAGCCGGUCACAUGAGGUUUUGGGUGCACCAGUUGGGUGGGUUCUGAACUUCUGGCCCCCUUCCAAGUCUCAAAGUCUAGUUGACCAAGUGUGUUGGGCCAAGCUGUGCCUGGCUCUGGAACUGCCUCCAAGGAGGGGCAUCAGGCUGUGUGGUGGAGACAGUGACCCCUCCAGCCCCUGCUGCUCCAGCUGCAGCUGCAGAGUGUACAAGGGGAGAGUCUCUGGGGGUCACGGGGCUCCAUGGGUAUAUUCAGAAAGAUGAAGCACCCUGUGUGAUGCACCUGCACCUAGGCUGAUGGGGACACCUGCAAGGACAGACUGGGGCAUUAAAUAGGUGGAGAGAGCUUUGCUUUAGAAAACACACACUGAGAAAGUGCAAUUUGCCAUCAGGCAGGCUAAGGGGUGUUCCACUUACUACACUUGGAGUCUUUCACCCAAGAACUGAUGAAACAGUUCAGGAACAAAACCAGCCAGAUACGUUAAGAAGAAUGAUGCUUACCAACAUAGUAUGGGGUUUGAUGUUGACAACGAUUCACUGAUGUCUUCCCAGAUUCCCUAGAUGUAGGGGCAGAACUACCAGGGGAGAGACCAUGCUUCUUUGGAGAGAUUGAAUGGUACUCUCUAGGUCUGGAGCAGCACUGUCCAGGGAACAUCACACUGGGAAUGUUCUUCCUCUGUGCUGUCCAAGAUGGUAGCUGAGCAUGCAGUGUGGUUAUUGCAACAGAAGAACUGAAUGUUGAUUUCAUUUACUUUUAAUUAAUUUAAAUUUAAAUCUGAAUGCCCGCGUGUGGCUAGUGGCUACGUGGUGGACAGUGCUGUCUAGACCAGUGUGCAGAGGUCAUAGUGGAGGAGGAGCAUUGGAGGAAAAUGGAGAGGUGACCCUGGAGAGGUGGUGGGAACAGAUCGAGAGGACCUUGUAAGGUGUGUGAGCAAUUCGAGACUUGUCCCUGGGGAUGACAGGAAGCCACUGAAAGGUCUAAGCAGAUGAAUGAGUACUCAGAUUGAUAGCUUAAAAGACUUGGCUGGGUGCGGUGGCUCAUGCCUGUAAUCCCAGCACUUUGGGAGGCCGAGGCGU